CUUCUUCGAUCUGCUGAGGGCAGAUGAAGUGGAUGUGGGCAUCCAUGCCGCCGGCGGUGAUGAUCUUGCCUUCGCCGGCAAUCGCCUCGGUGGAUGGGCCGAUGAUGAUAUCCACGUUUGGCUGUGUAUCGGGAUUGCCAGCCUUGCCAAUGCCGGCGAUCACGCCGUUCUUCAGUCCGAUGUCGGCCUUGUAGAUGCCGGUAUGAUCAACGAUCAGCGCAUUGGUGAUGACGGUGUCGACGGCACCUUGCGCACGGGUGCGCUGUGACUGGCCCAUGCCGUCGCGGAUG
This 290-nucleotide small RNA is filed under the name Devosia chinhatensis. Its description in RNAcentral is "5' ureB small RNA". It matches the Rfam family "5' ureB small RNA". The record is from Rfam by way of RNAcentral. Lineage: Bacteria; Pseudomonadati; Pseudomonadota; Alphaproteobacteria; Hyphomicrobiales; Devosiaceae.